Molecule: ribosomal RNA, 742 nt
Filed under: Streptomyces sp. UA-AR0116
Lineage: Bacteria; Bacillati; Actinomycetota; Actinomycetes; Kitasatosporales; Streptomycetaceae
Description: bacterial SSU rRNA
Rfam family: Bacterial small subunit ribosomal RNA
Source: RNAcentral
UGCAAGUCGAACGAUGAAGCCUUUCGGGGUGGAUUAGUGGCGAACGGGUGAGUAACACGUGGGCAAUCUGCCCUUCACUCUGGGACAAGCCCUGGAAACGGGGUCUAAUACCGGAUAAUACUCUGUCCUGCAUGGGGCGGGGUUGAAAGCUCCGGCGGUGAAGGAUGAGCCCGCGGCCUAUCAGCUUGUUGGUGGGGUAAUGGCCUACCAAGGCGACGACGGGUAGCCGGCCUGAGAGGGCGACCGGCCACACUGGGACUGAGACACGGCCCAGACUCCUACGGGAGGCAGCAGUGGGGAAUAUUGCACAAUGGGCGAAAGCCUGAUGCAGCGACGCCGCGUGAGGGAUGACGGCCUUCGGGUUGUAAACCUCUUUCAGCAGGGAAGAAGCGAGAGUGACGGUACCUGCAGAAGAAGCGCCGGCUAACUACGUGCCAGCAGCCGCGGUAAUACGUAGGGCGCAAGCGUUGUCCGGAAUUAUUGGGCGUAAAGAGCUCGUAGGCGGCUUGUCACGUCGGAUGUGAAAGCCCGGGGCUUAACCCCGGGUCUGCAUUCGAUACGGGCUAGCUAGAGUGUGGUAGGGGAGAUCGGAAUUCCUGGUGUAGCGGUGAAAUGCGCAGAUAUCAGAGGAACACCGGUGGCGAAGGCGGAUCUCUGGUCCAUUACUGACGCUGAGGAGCGAAAGCGUGGGGGAGCGAACAGGAUUAGAUACCCUGGUAGUCCACGCCGUAACCGUUGGGAA